GAGUAUUACAUCGGAUAGAUCUCCAUGAAGAUCAUGAAGAACAUGGUAUUGAAGAUCAAAGAGAGAGAAGAAGCCAUCUAGCUACUAGCUAUGUACCAGUAGGUCUGUGGUGAACUACUCACACAUCAUCGGAGGCGCAAUGGAGUUGAUGUAGAUGCCCUCUGUGAUCAAUUCCCUCUCCAGUAGAUUACCGAAAAAGGCUCCCAGAUUGGAUCUCUCGGGAACAGAGGCUCACGACGGCAUAAAAGUAUUUUCGUGGCUCUUUUUGGUGAUACGGG
RNAcentral lists this long non-coding RNA (278 nucleotides) under Hordeum vulgare. RNAcentral's name for it is "long non-coding RNA (HVUL_LNC007181)". Lineage: Eukaryota; Viridiplantae; Streptophyta; Magnoliopsida; Poales; Poaceae. The record is from RNAcentral.